UAGGGAAUAUUAGAAAUGGACGAAAGUCUGAUCUAGCAACACCGCGUGUGCGAAGAAGGCCUUCGGGUUGUAAAGCACUUUUUGGAAGGAUUAGGAAGGAAUGUACUUCCAGAAUAAGUCUCGGCUAACUACGUGCCGGCAGCCGCGGUAACACGUAGGAGGCAAACGUUAUCCGGAUUUACUGGGCGUAAAGCGCGUGUAGGUGGUUCUGUAAGUAGGGCGUGAAAGCUCCUGGCUCAACUGGGAGAGGCCGUUCUAAACUGCAGAGCGAGAGGAUGGUAGAGGGAGGUGGAAUUCCGGGUGUAGCGGUGGAAUGCGCAGAUAUCCGGAGGAACACCAGUGGCGAGAGCGGCCUCAUGGGCCAUUCCUGACACUCAGACGCGAAAGCUAGGGUAGCAAACGG
RNAcentral lists this ribosomal RNA (403 nucleotides) under uncultured bacterium. RNAcentral's name for it is "bacterial SSU rRNA". It matches the Rfam family "Bacterial small subunit ribosomal RNA", at positions 355 to 775 of the family's 1533-position model. The record is from RNAcentral.